GUCCCUUUGGAGAUAACCGAUAAAAUUGGAAUCAUAUAAAGAAGAUUAGCAUGGCCCUGCGCAAGGAUGAUAUGCACAAAUCGAGAAAUGAUCAAAUUUUUU
This is a small nuclear RNA of Rhodamnia argentea, 102 nucleotides long. Lineage: Eukaryota; Viridiplantae; Streptophyta; Magnoliopsida; Myrtales; Myrtaceae. The record is from RefSeq and is a predicted model, not a curated record.